UAUUGGACAAUGGGCGAAAGCCUGAUCCAGCAAUGCCGCGUGAGUGAUGAAGGCCUUAGGGUUGUAAAGCUCUUUUACCCGGGAUGAUAAUGACAGUACCGGGAGAAUAAGCUCCGGCUAACUCCGUGCCAGCAGCCGCGGUAAUACGGAGGGAGCUAGCGUUGUUCGGAAUUACUGGGCGUAAAGCGCACGUAGGCGGCUUUGUAAGUUAGAGGUGAAAGCCUGGAGCUCAACUCCAGAACUGCCUUUGAAACUAGGUCGCUAGAAUCUGGGAGAGGUGAGUGGAAUUCCGAGUGUAGAGGUGAAAUUCGUAGAUAUUCGGAAGAACACCAGUGGCGAAGGCGGCUCACUGGCCAGAAUUGACGCUGAGGCGCGA
Molecule: ribosomal RNA, 376 nt
Filed under: uncultured bacterium
Lineage: Bacteria
Description: bacterial SSU rRNA
Rfam family: Bacterial small subunit ribosomal RNA
Source: RNAcentral